AAAGUCGUAACAAGGUUUCCGUAGGUGAACCUGCGGAAGGAUCAUUAAUAAACGGCAAAGCUUUCGAGCCUAGCUUUUAUAACAUCUUAACACCUGUGAACUAUUUGCCUUCGGGCUAACUUAAACAUAAUGUAAUGAAUGUAAACUAUUAUAAUAAAUACAACUUUCAACAACGGAUCUCUUGGCUCUC
This 190-nucleotide unclassified non-coding RNA is filed under the name Basidiomycota sp. Its description in RNAcentral is "partial contains small subunit ribosomal RNA, internal transcribed spacer 1, and 5.8S ribosomal RNA". The stretch from base 1 to 47 matches the Rfam family "Eukaryotic small subunit ribosomal RNA", at positions 1785 to 1831 of the family's 1831-position model. Lineage: Eukaryota; Fungi; Basidiomycota. The record is from RNAcentral.